GUGCACCAGUCGCGAAACUCUGCAAUGCGCGAGAGCGCGACAGGUUACCCGAGUGUCGUCCGCGUGAGGACGACUUUCCCAGUGUAGAUAGCUGGGGGAAUAAGGAGAGGGCAAGUCUGGUGUCAGCCGCCGCGGUAAUACCGAGCUCUCCGAGUGGUGGGACGCUUACUUGGGCCUAAAGCAUCCGUAGCCGGUCUAACAAGUCCCUUGUUAAAUCCAGCGAUUCAAUCGCUGGACUGCAAGGGAUACUGUUAG
RNAcentral lists this ribosomal RNA (255 nucleotides) under uncultured microorganism. RNAcentral describes it as "partial 16S ribosomal RNA". It matches the Rfam family "Archaeal small subunit ribosomal RNA", at positions 330 to 590 of the family's 1478-position model. The record is from RNAcentral.